GAUGAACGCUGGCGGCGUGCCUAAUACAUGCAAGUCGAGCGAACAGACGAGGAGCUUGCUCCUCUGACGUUAGCGGCGGACGGGUGAGUAACACGUGGAUAACCUACCUAUAAGACUUGGAUAACUUCGGGAAACCGGAGCUAAUACCGGAUAAUAUAUUGAACCGCAUGGUUCAAUAGUGAAAGACGGUUUUGCUGUCACUUAUAGAUGGAUCCGCGCCGCCUUAGCUGGUUGGUAAGGUAACGGCUUACCAAGGCAACGAUGCGUAGCCGACCUGAGAGGGUGAUCGGCCACACUGGAACUGAGACACGGUCCAGACUCCUACGGGAGGCAGCAGUAGGGAAUCUUCCGCAAUGGGCGAAAGCUUGACGGAGCAACGCCGCGUGAGUGAUGAAGGUCUUCGGAUCGUAAAACUCUGUUAUUAGGGAAGAACAAAUGUGUAAGUAACUAUGCACGUCUUGACGGUACCUAAUCAGAAAGCCACGGCUAACUACGUG
Molecule: ribosomal RNA, 497 nt
Filed under: uncultured bacterium
Lineage: Bacteria
Description: partial 16S ribosomal RNA
Rfam family: Bacterial small subunit ribosomal RNA
Source: RNAcentral